Molecule: long non-coding RNA, 1684 nt
Filed under: Macaca fascicularis (crab-eating macaque)
Lineage: Eukaryota; Metazoa; Chordata; Mammalia; Primates; Cercopithecidae
Description: lncRNA (ENSMFAG00000051715.1)
Source: RNAcentral
AAGUGUUUGGUCUCUGCCCCAUUCAGUGGACUGUUGACUUCAGUCCCUGCAAGUGCUUUAGCCCGAGUGGGGUUUUCUCAGAGCACUGCCACAAGUUAAGUGUGUGUUUAGCCAAAUAAUUUCUCCAUAAGGGAAAAAUGCAGUCGCCCAAAUUUUACCAACAAUGACAGAGAUGAGAGUAGGAAAGAUUAGGCAACAUCUGAGUUUUAAUUGGAAAAGUGUCCAAGUCAUCAUGAAAGGCCGACUGGGAGCAAGUGAUUAUUAGAGAUUCUUUAGGAGACCUCAUCUGAAAAUGUUAAGACUGCCAGUGAGGAAAGGAAUUGUUAAAAUGCCAGCGGUUUUUUUUUUUUUUUCUCUUUUUUUUCUAUAAUUCUGUAAAAAUGCAGAGAAAGUUGAGUGGUACUUCAGAAUUGAGGGAGAGGGUUACCGCAGAGUAGAAAUAUAUUUCUAGAUUUCAGUUCCAAACCACAAAUCCACAACAAUGCCAUUUUUCAACUGUACAAAAAUCUGCUUAUGAACUUGACAUGAUCUUAAUUGGUAGUGUCAAAGGCCAAGUUUUUCACCUGUUAAUAUUUUUCCACAUUUGUCUUUGAAUCUGAAUAACUUUAUACAGUACUGUAAAUUUAACUUACAUCAAGUUUGAUGUCAAUUCUUAUGAAAAGAGCUUUCUGCAUGUAACACAUACGGUUAAAGAACACAGCAAAGAACAAAAUUUGCAGGAACAGUUUUGGAACCAACAGAAAAUGUCACCUUUUAUUUGCCAUCUUAUAUAUAUAUAUCAGUUUUACCAGCUACUUCUAAAUUUGUACAUUAUUUGUAAGGGAAAGAAGGAAAACCCUAAGACUUGUCUAACUUAGUGGAGAAUGUGUGUGUUGGGCUUAGGAUGGAUAGCUAAGUCUUACUGAGCUGUGUUACCUAACUUGUAUAUAAAAAUUGUAAUUAAAAGUUUGGGUUCACCUGUUUCUCACAGUCUAAAAUGAUGAGUAAUUGCAAAUUCUGGAAAUGUGACAGUAUAUGAUUUAAGGCUAUAGAAGCAAGGAAGCUCUUUCAAGUGCUAAAACUAAAGACUUCUAGUUUUUGGCUCAAAUUCAAUAAGUACUGUUUGUAUGCCAGGAUAUGUGAGAUGUAAAUGUAGUAGGUCACUUUUCACCCUUGUAGCUAUAAAAUAAAAAUUUUGUAGAACAGAAAUAGCUUGUACUACUGAAUUAACAAAAGUUAUACUAAAGUAUCAUGUUUUAAAAAUAUAUAUAUAUAUAUACAGAGUUAAGCUUGUUGCUGUUACCCUGUCUGGAUUUGAAAAGUGUGCUGAUUUAUAUAUAUAUAUUACACACACACACACACACACACACACACCCCUAAAAUGGCCUAAAGCAGACAUCCAUGUAAUUACAGUUGCAAAAUGAAAACAUUUUGGAAAGAACAUUGUAUCAUAGUUCAUUCAUUUGCAGUGGAUCUUUGUUCCUUUUUACUGUGGUAAUUUUAGAAAUGAGUGUCAAGUUUGAAAUUAGAUCUGCUAAGUUGGGGUUUUGCUGCUUGAACUCUGCACUGGGUCCUCAAAUAAACCGAUGUGAAUGUAGUUUUUUCCCCCUGUGUGAAGAAGCAGUUACACCCCAACAAUAGGAGGAAAAAUCUAGAACUAUUUCAAGUUUUAUCUUUUUGUAUAUGAAAAUAAAAUAAUAAUAAA